UGGGGAAUUUUGGACAAUGGGCGAAAGCCUGAUCCAGCCAUGCCGCGUGAGUGAAGAAGGCCUUCGGGUUGUAAAGCUCUUUUAGUCGGAAAGAAAGAGUUGCAAUGAAUAAUUGUGAUUUAUGACGGUACCGACAGAAAAAGCACCGGCUAACUACGUGCCAGCAGCCGCGGUAAUACGUAGGGUGCGAGCGUUAAUCGGAAUUACUGGGCGUAAAGGGUGCGCAGGCGGUUUUGUAAGUCAGAUGUGAAAUCCCCGGGCUUAACCUGGGAAUUGCUUUUGAAACUGCAAGACUAGAGUGCAGCAGAGGGGAGUGGAAUUCCAUGUGUAGCAGUGAAAUGCGUAGAGAUGUGGAAGAACACCGAUGGCGAAGGCAGCUCCCUGGGUUGACACUGACGCUCAUGCACGAAAGCGUGGGGAGCAAACA
RNAcentral lists this ribosomal RNA (427 nucleotides) under uncultured beta proteobacterium. RNAcentral describes it as "bacterial SSU rRNA". It matches the Rfam family "Bacterial small subunit ribosomal RNA", at positions 355 to 774 of the family's 1533-position model. Lineage: Bacteria; Pseudomonadati; Pseudomonadota; Betaproteobacteria. The record is from RNAcentral.